This is a long non-coding RNA of Ostrea edulis (European flat oyster), 353 nucleotides long. RefSeq lists it as uncharacterized. Lineage: Eukaryota; Metazoa; Mollusca; Bivalvia; Ostreida; Ostreidae. The transcript has 3 exons. The record is from RefSeq and is a predicted model, not a curated record.
GCAAGGUUGUCACAACUCAUAAACCGUGUCAUCGGCAGAUUCAGGGUUUUGUAAAGGGAGACUACCAAGGAGAAAACUAGUGUCAAAGUGUCAGAUUGAAACAGACAGGGCUCGAACCGCUGACCUGCUGAUUACGGACAUUAUUUUGACUUAACACUAUACCUGGCCUCCAGUGGUGAUAAACAUUUGAUGUAGACGCCUGCCCCUGGGUCAGCCAUGCCACGCCAGUCGAAUGCAUGUACGCUAACAGAUUUUGAUGUCUGUCACCAGGAAGAGAAGAAAAGAACAGUUUUUUGUUGCCAUCUAUCUUUGUCUUUCGGAACCAAAGCUAAUAAAGUUUGCAUAUUUAUGUA